This 206-nucleotide long non-coding RNA is filed under the name Nicotiana benthamiana. RNAcentral's name for it is "long non-coding RNA (NBEN_LNC027534)". Lineage: Eukaryota; Viridiplantae; Streptophyta; Magnoliopsida; Solanales; Solanaceae. The record is from RNAcentral.
GUAGUCUCGGUCUGAGCAACAUAAGCAUUUUUUGGUGAUCGACCAUGUAAAGAAUGGCACACGUCACGAGUGUGACCAAGUUUAUAACAAUAAGAACACUUGGGUCUAGAUCUACCAAAACGACCUCCUCCUCGUCUAUUCUCCAUAGUAUGAGAUGCCCGAUUGUCCACUGAUUGGGAUACGAGGAUAGAUGAAUCAAGUGUCUG